UUCACAUAGGAUUUGAAAACCACCAGAAAAUGUGCUUGCUAUUAAAGAAUAUUUAAUUAGAAAAAAAGUCAUUUUAGGAAACAUCUUUUCUGUGUAACUUAUCCCAUCUAUCUUUUACCACUAACUCCUAGCUCCCAUUUCCUCCCCUGAAUUGCUGGCUCUUUGAAAGCAGAGCAUAAUUUUGGUCCCUUUUGUGUUCUUUCCACAAUCCCAUAUGCCUCACACAAAGAAGAGUGUAACAAAUGCUUAGUUUAAUGCCAUGGAUUUUAGAAAAGCCCUGUGAUAUAAACGAUGAAGCAGAUCAUCGACUCACCUGACACUCAAUAAGAAAGGUCAAGUGACUUGUCAUACAGCCAACAGGUGGUAGGGCCUGCGUUCAAACUCAGGCAGUUUGCUUCCCCUUGUAUAGUCAAGUGUACUAAUUAGCAUACACCCCUCCUUGGCCCCUCCCUACUCCCCAACUGGUAUUGUCUCCGUUUCCCUUGACAGCUUUGACAUUUACACUGAUACUCAUACCUCCUGCACGCAGUCCACUUACUGGGGGAAGCAGACUUCACUGCUGGCUGCUGACCGGGGACAUGUCGCUUGUUCCCACACUGGUCAUGGGCUCCCAUUCCCUGGAUGGAGUUAUUGCAUCAGGGGAGGGCAGUAAGCCUGCAGACUGUGACUGCUGAGGGAUUUCAGGGAGAGAAGUAUCCUCUCUCUUCUGGAAAAACUUUGAGUAACCACCUUCUUUCUCUGUCCUUACACAUGAAUGGAAGCGCAGCCUAGGCAGUUGUGGGCAGACAAGUAGGAGAAUGGAAGUGAUGCUGCCACUGCCAAGGGCAGACAGAUGCAGAAGUAAACCUGGCUUGGAUGACACUGGGCCAAUCAGAGAAAUUCUGUAGGCAUUCUGACCCUGGGACCAGUGAGAACGAGUGUGAGAUCUUCUCUGGAGUGGAGCCUGGGAGAUGAAAAUUGUGAUGCUGCCUCUGGCUGUGUGGAGAAAACCAGUCCAGAAGAUGAGCCAUGGAAACCGAGAUGCAGCAAAGGGCAGAGACACAGGACAGAGAGAAUAGCCCUGAUGAACACAGAGCAGAUGCUGCCUGCACACGGACCAGUGGCUUACUGGUUCAAGCGUCAUGGUGAACAGAACAUGCUGAAAGAUGAAGGAACUCAGGCCUGGAGAGGUGAAGCCGUAUGCCCCCAACUGACAUCACACGCUACCAAGUGGAAUAACCAAGGUUGACCCAGGCAGUACUAAGAGUCUUUUCUCCUGACCACUGCUCUGUAUUCCUAUGUGAUGUUUUCCAAGUCCCCACGUUCAAAACUGUAUUCAUCAGCCUUCUCUUUUCUUGCAGUCCAAUU
Camelus dromedarius (Arabian camel) is the source of this 1347-nucleotide long non-coding RNA. RefSeq lists it as uncharacterized. The transcript is spliced from 4 exons. Lineage: Eukaryota; Metazoa; Chordata; Mammalia; Artiodactyla; Camelidae. The record is from RefSeq and is a predicted model, not a curated record.